RNAcentral lists this ribosomal RNA (586 nucleotides) under Betamyces sp. PL 173. RNAcentral's name for it is "eukaryotic LSU rRNA". The stretch from base 188 to 329 matches the Rfam family "5.8S ribosomal RNA". Lineage: Eukaryota; Fungi; Chytridiomycota; Chytridiomycetes; Rhizophydiales; Alphamycetaceae. The record is from RNAcentral.
GGUGAACCUGCGGUUGGAUCAUUACUGAUUUUGCCAAGGUUAGUCGAGUCUCUUUUAGAGAUUCCUUUCCAAGGUAAUAUACCACUGUGCACUAUGCUGUAUUUUGGGUGAUUGGGGCUAGUACUCGACACCCAGCAUCAUAUGAACCAAUGAAAUUUUUUGUCUGAAAUCGAUUCUAAAUUGAAACAACUUUUGACAACGGAUCUCUUGGCUCUCGCAACGAUGAAGAACGCAGCGAAAUGCGAUACGUAAUGUGAAUUGCUUUCCGUGAAUCAUCGAAUCUUUGAACGCACAUUGCACUCCUCUGGAGUAUGCCUGUUUGAGAAUCUAUAGUAUUCUUUUUUGCUUUGUUUCUUAGGGAGCAAGGUGAGAGAUAUGAGGUAUCCCUGUAAUAAGGGUGCUUUGAAUUAGAUUGUCACUGUCUUGUAGAAAACGACGACGUUUUUCAUAACCUGCAGAAAAGUAUUUGAAUGGAACCUUGGUUUCUUAUGAUGCUGAAUAAGUAGGCGAAAGAUUGAGUUUUCGUAGGACUGGGGUCCAUAACCUAAAGCUUUCGAGCUUGAACCAUGGUCUCAAAUCAGGUAGG